Molecule: non-coding RNA, 1801 nt
Organism: Pimephales promelas (fathead minnow)
Lineage: Eukaryota; Metazoa; Chordata; Actinopteri; Cypriniformes; Leuciscidae
Source: RefSeq, a predicted model, not a curated record
AGGAUGAGAGGCUGAAAAUUGGAAGCCAUUUUCAUUUCAUUGAUGCACUUCAAAGAGAGAACAGAGUGGCAGAAGUGAGACAGAGAGGGAGGAAAAAAAUGAUUACAAAUUAAGGUGGAUCUCUCUCUCUCUCAUACAACUUCCCUUUCUCUUGUUUAUUAUUCUAUAGUGCCGCCGCUACUCCCCGGCAGCGGAGACAAGUAUAGCAGAGGGUUAAGACACAGGGUUUUUCGUGCGGCACGGCACACCGAAAAACUUUCCCGGCAUCCCUUCUGCUCAACGAAACGAUGACGCAUCAUUCUGCUGACACAAGUCAUCUGAUUGCUGUGUCACGGCAUGGUUUUAGGCGAGUGGCAGCGCUCUGGCUACAGACGUAGUCUUUUUUUUUUCCCUCCCAGACGCACUGCGGCACAGCCAGACAACUAGAGUGGAGGCACAGGAGCUCGCAGCUGCAGUCUACUGGCUUGUUUUGGGGAGGCAGAAGAGCCGAGCACUUCCUCUCAAAACACCGCCGUUCUGCUUCUCUCCGCCGUUGAGGGAUCAUUUUCAAAGAAAGUCAAACAACUUGGAAUUACGCUCCGUCUCACAUGCCGACGGAAAAAUUUGGAGAAGCGAGCCCGGAUCAAACGUUUUUUUUUUUGUUUUGUUUUGUUUGGAGCUGCUGAUGCCAUUGUCUCUAUGUGCAGGACGGUGUUACCAGGCUGAAAAGUCGACGAGAAAGACUUGGAUUCCAGCGCGUCACCGGGCCGUCCCGAGACGUCCAGUCAGCCGGGCCCGCCUGCAUUCCCAUUCUCGGCGACCGGCCAAAGUGGCCGUUCUCCUCCAAGGAUGAAGUGGCUUUCGAUCUUAGACUCGUCCAGAAAGCAGAGCAGAGCCGAACAGAAACGGCAACGCAGCAGAUGAGCCGAGCUCAGCCAGACAGACAGACGUGUUGACCUAAAUCAGCCCCAGUCAUGUCUGGACGCAGCCAGAGCGAGAGAGGGAGAGAAAGCGAUCCUACAAAUACAUAAACUCGCACUAUGGGAUGGAGAUAAACGAAGGAGGCUGUGCGGGGAGGGGGAGACUGAGUUCUCUCUCUCUCUCUCCCUCUUUUUCGGCACUGCUUUAGUUCCUUCUAUUAGCUGGUGUUCAUAUUCAGCGCAUCUCCGUUGAUCUCCACCACUGCUGCAGAGCGAAACAUUGAGUCGUUGUCCCCCUCAACUCCCCUGUUUGCACUUUUGGGUUCAGUAAACGGCGGGAUAAAAGGCAUGCUGAAGUGAGUUGGUCAGACAGGCCUUGCCAAACCCACAGGCUGUUCUGCUGCUUUGCUACCGCUGUGGUGUUUUGAUGUGCGCUACUGCAGAUGCAGUUUUUGGGCGAUCACCAACAAGCUACCGUACAUGAGGAGACUCUGGUAAAGUAAGGGAUAUCUUUCAAGAAAGAAAAUCCACAAUUCAUGGGAGAAGACAAGGCUUCGGAAAGAGAAGGAAACCCAUGCUUUUUAUUUCUGUCCACAGAGAAGUAUGUGAAUGCAUAAAUUGAUUAUGUUUCUCCAAGAGAACAUAUUUCAAACCUGUAGCUUGCCAAGGUAAGACACAUUAUAUAAAGUAGUUAAACUCUAUAUGGUAGAAGCAAGAAACUGAGAAAAAGUAGCUAAAUUGGAGAUAGUUCACCCAACUAUUGUAUGUGUAGCUCAUGUGGUCGAAUGUGUUUGAACAACCACAAAAGGCCGCCUCAUCUCCACCUACUGACCUGAUGCGUAAACUUUAUUGGAAGCGCACCUAGCCAGAUGGGAUUUAAACUUUGUUGGCUAAAGACACAA